CUUGACCCGUCUUGAAACACGGACCAAGGAGUCUAACAUGCGCGCGAGUCAUUGGGCGGUACGAAACCCAAAGGCGCAGUGAAAGCGAGGGUCGUCUCACGACAACCCAGGUGGGAUCCUCCCUCCCAAGAGCGAUCUGCGGAGGGUGGCGCACCACCGGCCCGUCCCGACUGCGUUGUCAGUGGGGCGGAGCAAGAGCGUGCACGCUGGGACCCGAAAGAUGGUGAACUAUGCCUGAGUAGAACGAAGCCAGAGGAAACUCUGGUGGAGGUUCGUAGCGAUUCUGACGUGCAAAUCGAUCGUCAAACUUGGGUAUAGGGGCGAAAGACUAAUCGAACCAUCUAGUAGCUGGUUCCUUCCGAA
RNAcentral lists this ribosomal RNA (363 nucleotides) under Triodopsis tridentata. RNAcentral describes it as "eukaryotic LSU rRNA". It matches the Rfam family "Eukaryotic large subunit ribosomal RNA", at positions 643 to 965 of the family's 3401-position model. Lineage: Eukaryota; Metazoa; Mollusca; Gastropoda; Stylommatophora; Polygyridae. The record is from RNAcentral.